CCACCCGGGGAUUGCCUUAGUACGGCGAGUGAAGCGGCAAAAGCUCAAAUUUGAAAUCUGGUACCUUCGGUGCCCGAGUUGUAAUUUGGAGAGGGCAACUUUGGGGCCGUUCCUUGUCUAUGUUCCUUGGAACAGGACGUCAUAGAGGGUGAGAAUCCCGUGUGGCGAGGAGUGCGGUUCUUUGUAAAGUGCCUUCGAAGAGUCGAGUUGUUUGGGAAUGCAGCUCUAAGUGGGUGGUAAAUUCCAUCUAAAGCUAAAUAUUGGCGAGAGACCGAUAGCGAACAAGUACAGUGAUGGAAAGAUGAAAAGAACUUUGAAAAGAGAGUGAAAAAGUACGUGAAAUUGUUGAAAGGGAAGGGCAUUUGAUCAGACAUGGUGUUUUGUGCCCUCUGCUCCUUGUGGGUAGGGGAAUCUCGCAUUUCACUGGGCCAGCAUCAGUUUUGGUGGCAGGAUAAAUCCAUAGGAAUGUAGCUUGCCUCGGUAAGUAUUAUAGCCUGUGGGAAUACUGCCAGCUGGGACUGAGGACUGCGACGUAAGUCAAGGAUGCUGGCAUAAUGGUUAUAUGCCGCCCGUCUUGAACA
This 581-nucleotide ribosomal RNA is filed under the name Saccharomyces cerevisiae (brewer's yeast). RNAcentral's name for it is "eukaryotic LSU rRNA". It matches the Rfam family "Eukaryotic large subunit ribosomal RNA", at positions 65 to 661 of the family's 3401-position model. The record is from RNAcentral. Lineage: Eukaryota; Fungi; Ascomycota; Saccharomycetes; Saccharomycetales; Saccharomycetaceae.